AGGCCCGGGCAAGCCAGGGCUUUGCCCUGGUAGUUUUCAACCAAAACCACACCCAAAAGCCACAACUGUUUAUACUUGCUAUCAGCUCCACUUUACAGUUAUUUUAGUGUGAUAACUGGCUUCUGUGAGCUAUCAUAAGGACUUUCAGUCAUUUUAUUAAUUGACCACACCCCUAAUUUUUAUGAAUAAUUAAUGAGCCCUGGUUAAUUCAAGAUUCUGUAGCCGCCUAUGUACUCUUGAUCUAACUGUUAGUAUAGCAACUUGAGAAAACAGUGGAAAUGCUCAAGCAAAAUAUUAUUAAAAGAUGUUACAGUACUUAUCUAGCAAAACUGAAAACAGUUGCAGUAGAAAUUGGAAAACAUUAUAUGACUUUACCUGCAUGCAUGAUGUGAAUGAAACAUUAUAGCCAUUCAAAUGUACUGAUUUUGUUGAACACUUAAUAGCAUGACA
Long non-coding RNA from Amphimedon queenslandica, 450 nucleotides. RefSeq lists it as uncharacterized. The record is from RefSeq and is a predicted model, not a curated record. NCBI's taxonomy places the organism in Eukaryota, Metazoa, Porifera, Demospongiae, Haplosclerida, Niphatidae. The transcript is spliced from 2 exons.